This 675-nucleotide small RNA is filed under the name Pan troglodytes (chimpanzee). RNAcentral describes it as "processed transcript". Lineage: Eukaryota; Metazoa; Chordata; Mammalia; Primates; Hominidae. The record is from RNAcentral.
CUGAGGCAGAAGAUAUCAAGUGCUGUAACACCUGUGAAGAUGUGCGGGAGGCAUAUCGCCGUCGAGGCUGGGCCUUCAAGAACCCAGAUACUAUUGAGCAGUGCCGGCGAGAGGGCUUCAGCCAGAAGAUGCAGGAGCAGAAGAAUGAAGGCUGCCAGGUGUAUGGCUUCUUGGAAGUCAAUAAGGUGGCCGGAAACUUCCACUUUGCCCCUGGGAAGAGCUUCCAGCAGUCCCAUGUGCACGUCCAUGACUUGCAGAGCUUUGGCCUUGACAACAUCAACAUGACCCACUACAUCCAGCACCUGUCAUUUGGGGAGGACUAUCCAGGCAUUGUGAACCCCCUGGACCACACCAAUGUCACUGCGCCCCAAGGUACCAGCCCGGGAGGCAGCCCCCAGCCGCAGAAGGCCGGCCGGGCACCCACACCCAGUGCUUUGUUUUCCCCUCAGCCUCCAUGAUGUUCCAGUACUUUGUGAAGGUGGUGCCCACUGUGUACAUGAAGGUGGACGGAGAGGUGAGUCAGGGAGCUCCCUACCAGAGUCUCCUGCGCGGUGCCAAGCACUGGAGUUCCUGCAUUUUGUUCCGUCAGCCUGGGGAGUGAAAGCUGCCUCGUCCUCACAUGGCCAAUAAAAGACUGAGGCACAGAGAGGGUGAGGGAUUUGCCCUCCCAGGCAG